UCACAGAAGCAUGAAAGAGGGGCAGUGACAGACACGAAACCUAGCACGAAAUACCAUGGAAGAACUCCUGUCUCGUAUUCACCGGAAAUUAACUCUUUACCGACUUGAUCUGCUUCUAAACAAAGCAAAAUGCGGGGAAGGGAGGAAAGAUUGGUGAAAACAAUAAAUCAAAUCUGAAAGUCCUUUUGUAUUGAAAUCAGGGGGUGGGAACUAAUAUUGGCAUGCACAAAAAUAUGAGGAAGUUAUCUUGCUCUAUUGAUUUGACACAGAAAUGAAAUUAUCUCUACUUGAUGUCUCACUCCUCCUGAGCCAAGCCUUUGUGCAGGAUUCCAUCUUGAUUCCAGGAAAGUAACAAAGGACACAACCACAACAACAAUCAAUUCAUAUUGCAAAACAUUCAGCUAUAUCAGUUACAUCGUGUCUGUGAUUCCAUAUCAGCUGCCCUGGGAAGUACAUACAGGUCAUGGAGGUAAAUGGAGGGUCAUGGCUCCAAAGGAGCAAGAUUUUUAUGGAAAAUGACCUGUGAAAGCAAUGCAGAAGAAAAACAAACCAGAUCUUUCAGCUUCACAAGGGGAGCAUAUUCAAGCAGCUACACUUGUCAGUUUGAAAGAGGCUACUGAAACAUUAUCUGCAGCGCAUUUAUCCAAAGCACUGACGGUACAAACAGCAUUUGGAAAGAUCAUUAAGUGGUCCGCUAAGACGCUCAGCGAUUUUCAAGUGGUCCGUGAAAAAAAAAGUUUGAGAACCACUGAUCUAGAUUUUUCAAUCAUGAGGCUUAGUCCAGAUGUAUACUUUUUCUUAAGGCAAGUUCACUUUCUCUGUCAUGAUGUAAUGAUGCAUUUUAAUUAUUGUAAUUAUUUUUAUAAUUAAGUUUGAUGUACAACAAUAAAGGAUACAUUGUAAAAAUCAAA
Long non-coding RNA from Caretta caretta (loggerhead turtle), 911 nucleotides. RefSeq lists it as uncharacterized. The record is from RefSeq and is a predicted model, not a curated record. Lineage: Eukaryota; Metazoa; Chordata; Testudines; Cheloniidae.